UACGUAGGGGGCAAGCGUUGUCCGGAAUUAUUGGGCGUAAAGAGCGUGUAGGCGGUCCGGUAAGUCCGCUGUGAAAGUCCAGGGCUCAACCCUGGAAUGCCGGUGGAUACUGCCGGGCUAGAGUCCGGAAGAGGCGAGUGGAAUUCCUGGUGUAGCGGUGAAAUGCGCAGAUAUCAGGAGGAACACCAAUGGCGAAGGCAGCUCGCUGGGACGGUACUGACGCUGAGACGCGAAAGCGUGGGGAGCAAACAGG
RNAcentral lists this ribosomal RNA (253 nucleotides) under uncultured bacterium. RNAcentral describes it as "partial 16S ribosomal RNA". It matches the Rfam family "Bacterial small subunit ribosomal RNA", at positions 524 to 776 of the family's 1533-position model. The record is from RNAcentral.